UACGGGGGGGGCAAGCGUUGUUCGGAAUUACUGGGCGUAAAGGGCUCGUAGGCGGCCAACUAAGUCAGACGUGAAAUCCCUCGGCUUAACCGGGGAACUGCGUCUGAUACUGGAUGGCUUGAAUCCGGGAGAGGGAUGCGGAAUUCCAGGUGUAGCGGUGAAAUGCGUAGAUAUCUGGAGGAACACCGGUGGCGAAGGCGGCAUCCUGGACCGGCAUUGACGCUGAGGAGCGAAAGCCAGGGCAGCAAACGGG
RNAcentral lists this ribosomal RNA (253 nucleotides) under uncultured bacterium. RNAcentral's name for it is "partial 16S ribosomal RNA". It matches the Rfam family "Bacterial small subunit ribosomal RNA", at positions 524 to 776 of the family's 1533-position model. The record is from RNAcentral.